CCGUAGGUGAACCUGCGGAAGGAUCAUUACUGUGAUUUAUAUCUUAUACACAUGCGUGAGCGCACCAAACACCUAAAAUUGUAAUACUACCAGUCACUAAGUUUUAACAAAACAAAACUUUCAACAACGGAUCUCUUGGUUCUCGCAUCGAUGAAGAGCGCAGCGAAAUGCGAUACCUAGUGUGAAUUGCAGCCAUCGUGAAUCAUCGAGUUCUUGAACGCACAUUGCGCCCCAUGGUAUUCCAUGGGGCAUGCCUGUCUGAGCGUCGUUUCCUUCUUGCGCAAGCAGAGUUGAGAACAGGCUAUGCCUUUUUCGAAAUGGAACGUCGUGGACGAAGUGAACUAAAUUUUUAGCACGCUUUGGCCGCCGAACUUUUAACUAAGCUCGACCUCAGAUCAGGUAGGAAUACCCGCUGAACUUAAGCAUAUCAAUAAGCGGAGGA
RNAcentral lists this ribosomal RNA (442 nucleotides) under Pichia fermentans. RNAcentral's name for it is "eukaryotic LSU rRNA". The stretch from base 116 to 268 matches the Rfam family "5.8S ribosomal RNA". Lineage: Eukaryota; Fungi; Ascomycota; Pichiomycetes; Pichiales; Pichiaceae. The record is from RNAcentral.